UGGCAUCUGGAAGACUAAAGCAGGA
Molecule: non-coding RNA, 25 nt
Filed under: Mus musculus (house mouse)
Lineage: Eukaryota; Metazoa; Chordata; Mammalia; Rodentia; Muridae
Source: RNAcentral